CUCAGGUGUUGUUGGGUAGGGGAGCGUUCUGUAAGCCUGUGAAGGUGUGUCGUGAGGCAUGCUGGAGGUAUCAGAAGUGCGAAUGCUGACAUAAGUAACGAUAAAGCGGGUGAAAAGCCCGCUCGCCGGAAGACCAAGGGUUCCUGUCCAACGUUAAUCGGGGCAGGGUGAGUCGACCCCUAAGGCGAGGCCGAAAGGCGUAGUCGAUGGGAAACAGGUUAAUAUUCCUGUACUUGGUGUUACUGCGAAGGGGGGACGGAGAAGGCUAUGUUGGCCGGGCGACGGUUGUCCCGGUUUAAGCGUGUAGGUGUGUGUUCCAGGUAAAUCCGGUUCACUUUAACACUGAGGCGUGACGACGAGGCACUACGGUGCUGAAGCAACAAAUGCCCUGCUUCCAGGAAAAGCCUCUAAGCAUCAGGUAACAUCAAAUCGUACCCCAAACCGACACAGGUGGUCAGGUAGAGAAUACCAAGGCGCUUGAGAGAACUCGGGUGAAGGAACUAGGCAAAAUGGUGCCGUAACUUCGGGAGAAGGCACGCUGACACGUAGGUGAAGUGAUUUACUCAUGGAGCUGAAGUCAGUCGAAGAUACCAGCUGGCUGCAACUGUUUAUUAAAAACACAGCACUGUGCAAACACGAAAGUGGACGUAUACGGUGUGACGCCUGCCCGGUGCCGGAAGGUUAAUUGAUGGGGUCAGCGCAAGCGAAGCUCCUGAUCGAAGCCCCGGUAAACGGCGGCCGUAACUAUAACGGUCCUAAGGUAGCGAAAUUCCUUGUCGGGUAAGUUCCGACCUGCACGAAUGGCGUAAUGAUGGCCAGGCUGUCUCCACCCGAGACUCAGUGAAAUUGAACUCGCUGUGAAGAUGCAGUGUACCCGCGGCAAGACGGAAAGACCCCGUGAACCUUUACUAUAGCUUGACACUGAACAUUGAGCCUUGAUGUGUAGGAUAGGUGGGAGGCUUUGAAGCGUGGACGCCAGUCUGCGUGGAGCCGACCUUGAAAUACCACCCUUUAAUGUUUGAUGUUCUAACGUGGACCCGUUA
This 1043-nucleotide ribosomal RNA is filed under the name Salmonella enterica subsp. enterica serovar Thompson. Its description in RNAcentral is "partial 23S ribosomal RNA". It matches the Rfam family "Bacterial large subunit ribosomal RNA", at positions 1213 to 2238 of the family's 2925-position model. Lineage: Bacteria; Pseudomonadati; Pseudomonadota; Gammaproteobacteria; Enterobacterales; Enterobacteriaceae. The record is from RNAcentral.